Molecule: ribosomal RNA, 450 nt
Filed under: uncultured Burkholderiales bacterium
Lineage: Bacteria; Pseudomonadati; Pseudomonadota; Betaproteobacteria; Burkholderiales
Description: bacterial SSU rRNA
Rfam family: Bacterial small subunit ribosomal RNA
Source: RNAcentral
UGAUCCAGCCAUGCCGCGUGAGUGAAGAAGGCCUUCGGGUUGUAAACUGCUUUUGUCCGGGAAGAAAACGCUCUGGUUAAUACCUGGUGCUCAUGACGGUACCGUAAGAAUAAGCACCGGCUAACUACGUGCCAGCAGCCGCGGUAAUACGUAGGGUGCAAGCGUUAAUCGGAAUUACUGGGCGUAAAGCGUGCGCAGGCGGUUUUGUAAGACAGAGGUGAAAUCCCCGGGCUCAACCUGGGAACUGCCUUUGUGACUGCUAGGCUUGAGUGCGGCAGAGGGGGAUGGAAUUCCACGUGUAGCAGUGAAAUGCGUAGAUAUGGCGAGGAACACCGAUGGCGAAGGCAAUCCCCUGGACCUGUACUGACGCUCAUGCACGAAAGCGUGGGGAGCAAACAGGAUUAGAUACCCUGGUAGUCCACGCCCUAAACGAUGUCAACUGGUUGUUGG